This 348-nucleotide long non-coding RNA is filed under the name Dermacentor andersoni. RNAcentral's name for it is "uncharacterized LOC126524549". The record is from RNAcentral. Lineage: Eukaryota; Metazoa; Arthropoda; Arachnida; Ixodida; Ixodidae.
UUCACAUUGGAAAUGGCCUAUUUAUCUGUGCCAACAAGUGGACGUGGGUCAAUCAAGCAAAGACAGACAGCACAUUUGCCAGGGAGGUUGCCCGGUGCCUGUGGCAGCCACAUGAAUUGGUCGGCAGGAGUGUGACGGGCAAAAUUUGCAUGCGCAAACUGAAGGAAGGUGGCGAGGCAAAGCCAGCAUUAACACCAGAAAAACUUGGUGCAGUUCGAAAGUCAUACGAGCACUUUGUGGCGAAACAUACAAGCGCUGUGGACACGGAGGCCAGGAGGCUCAAGGACUUUAACAAGCACCUGGCCACCAUGCUGCGUGAUGCGAAAUAAAGAUGGUUUGUGCUGCGUG